Molecule: long non-coding RNA, 1050 nt
Organism: Amphibalanus amphitrite
Lineage: Eukaryota; Metazoa; Arthropoda; Thecostraca; Balanomorpha; Balanidae
Exons: 5
Source: RefSeq, a predicted model, not a curated record
CGAUCGAGAUCCGCGCGGUGCGCUGGUGGUGGUGCGGCUAUGCGCGAUGGAUCGUGCGGGCGGCGGAUAUUCUUUAUUGAGGGUGCUGGUCCGCCGGGAAGGUGACCCUGGUUGAGAAUUUGCAGCGCCACAAACAUCUGAUCUUGAAGCGAUGCUGCAUCUGAAACUUCCUUCCUGCUUUUGUCUACCAGCAUGGCAGGUAGAGUGGAAGAUCACCAUGGGCUUAUUUGAGGAAGGACUUUUGUCGCUAUAUUAUUCAUCUCGGCGAUACAGGAGCUCCAAUACCUUGUUCCGAGACGACUGAUCUAAAAGGCCCAGUCUUCCGCAGCUCUCCAGCCACAUUUCAGUUGAUGUUCGCGGAGGAGCACCGGUGAUCGGGAGCCAAGCCUCGAGAGUCGAGACGUUCUCCAUCUCGACCUCGAGUGGACGACUUGGACAGUCGACACGUCCUCUGCUUCAGUCUUCGGGAGCUGGGACAGUGGCUGACCGCUGAUGCUAGAGUUGUUGCCGCUCUGAUGUCAGCCGCCCUGUCACCAAAGUCCCACGGACAAAGCAUAAACCGGCAAGGCGCCAGUGCCGGCUGAGUGAGCGCAGUGUUGCCUAUCGUCGGGCUAACAAAGUGGAUUGUAGUUAUAAAUGGACAAGUAUUGUAUCGAGAGUACAUGAACCUCCAGGCUCCACGAAUCAAAUUAAAACGGUUACAUUUAAGGCGUACCGGUUUCGUCUAUUGACUUCUUCAGCGCCGUAACAAGGUCCUUGUUACGGCGCUGAAGAAGUCAAUAGACGAAACCGGUACGCCUUAAAUGUAACUGUUUUAAUUUGAUUCGUGGAGCCUGGAGGUUCAUGUACUCUCGAUACAAAAGUGGAUUGUAUUUGAAUUGCAGUGCAUUUGCAUUGCUUAAAAUUAACGCCGUUUGUAGCCUGUUUGUGUCGAGUGAAGCUGUUUGUGAGAUGAGGGUUAGUGUUAAGUCUCGUCACAAUUUUUGCCUUCCACUCGUGCCUGAGUAACAUGAUAAUGUGCUGUUGAAAUAAAUUUUAUGGUGAACCUUA